GACUGAUGCAAAGGAAGCAGAACCAACUAUAGUCCUUGUCCUCAGCCAGUUUGUAUUUCCAGUUUGUGUGAUUGCUGGAGUUCUGUUGUUUGUAUUUUACAACCCCACCACAAGAAUGAAGAUAAAAGCUUUCUAUGAUGUGCCAAGCCCAGCCCCCUUUUUCCAGCCUCUGUA
Long non-coding RNA from Coregonus clupeaformis (lake whitefish), 174 nucleotides. RefSeq lists it as uncharacterized. NCBI's taxonomy places the organism in Eukaryota, Metazoa, Chordata, Actinopteri, Salmoniformes, Salmonidae. The record is from RefSeq and is a predicted model, not a curated record. The transcript has 3 exons.